RNAcentral lists this ribosomal RNA (838 nucleotides) under Verruciconidia aff. persicina CBS 263.89. RNAcentral's name for it is "eukaryotic LSU rRNA". It matches the Rfam family "Eukaryotic large subunit ribosomal RNA", at positions 71 to 943 of the family's 3401-position model. Lineage: Eukaryota; Fungi; Ascomycota; Sordariomycetes; Hypocreales; Bionectriaceae. The record is from RNAcentral.
GGGAUUGCCUCAGUAACGGCGAGUGAAGCGGCAACAGCUCAAAUUUGAAAUCUUGGCCUCACGGUCCGAGUUGUAAUUUGCAGAGGAUGUUUCUGGCAAGGUGCCUUCCGAGUUCCCUGGAACGGGACGCCAUAGAGGGUGAGAGCCCCGUCCGGUUGGUCGCCGCGCCUCUGUGAAACUCCUUCGACGAGUCGAGUAGUUUGGGAAUGCUGCUCUAAAUGGGAGGUAUACGUCUUCUAAAGCUAAAUAUUGGCCAGAGACCGAUAGCGCACAAGUAGAGUGAUCGAAAGAUGAAAAGCACUUUGAAAAGAGGGUUAAAAAGUACGUGAAAUUGUUGAAAGGGAAGCACUCAUGACCAGACUUGGGCCGGUUGAUCAUCCGCCGUUCUCGGCGGUGCACUCUGCCGGCCCAGGCCAGCAUCAGUUCGUCCCGGGGGAUAAAGGUUUCGGGAAUGUGGCUCCUCCGGGAGUGUUAUAGCCCGUUGCGUAAUACCCUGGGGUGGACUGAGGUUCGCGCAUUGCAAGGAUGCUGGCGUAAUGUCUUCAGUGACCCGUCUUGAAACACGGACCAAGGAGUCGUCUUCGUAUGCGAGUGUUCGGGUGUCAAACCCCUACGCGUAAUGAAAGUGAACGUAGGAGAGAGCUUCGGCGCAUCUCCGACCGAUCCUGAUGUUCUCGGAUGGAUUUGAGUAAGAGCAUACGGGGCCGGACCCGAAAGAAGGUGAACUAUGCCUGUAUAGGGUGAAGCCAGAGGAAACUCUGGUGGAGGCUCGCAGCGGUUCUGACGUGCAAAUCGAUCGUCAAAUAUGGGCAUGGGGGCGAAAGACUAAUCGAACCUU